ACGGGUGGUAAUGCCGGAUGUUCCAGUUGAUCGCAUGGUCUUCUGGGAAAGCUUUCGCGGUAUGGGAUGGGGUCGCGUCCUAUCAGCUUGACGGCGGGGUAACGGCCCACCGUGGCUUCGACGGGUAGCCGGCCUGAGAGGGCGACCGGCCACAUUGGGACUGAGAUACGGCCCAGACUCCUACGGGAGGCAGCAGUGGGGAAUAUUGCACAAUGGGCGCAAGCCUGAUGCAGCGACGCCGCGUGAGGGAUGGAGGCCUUCGGGUUGUAAACCUCUUUUAUCGGGGAGCAAGCGAGAGUGAGUUUACCCGUUGAAUAAGCACCGGCUAACUACGUGCCAGCAGCCGCGGUAAUACGUAGGGUGCAAGCGUUAUCCGGAAUUAUUGGGCGUAAAGGGCUCGUAGGCGGUUCGUCGCGUCCGGUGUGAAAGUCCAUCGCUUAACGGUGGAUCCGCGCCGGGUACGGGCGGGCUUGAGUGCGGUAGGGGAGACUGGAAUUCCCGGUGUAACGGUGGAAUGUGUAGAUAUCGGGA
RNAcentral lists this ribosomal RNA (531 nucleotides) under Bifidobacterium longum subsp. infantis. RNAcentral describes it as "bacterial SSU rRNA". It matches the Rfam family "Bacterial small subunit ribosomal RNA", at positions 156 to 702 of the family's 1533-position model. Lineage: Bacteria; Bacillati; Actinomycetota; Actinomycetes; Bifidobacteriales; Bifidobacteriaceae. The record is from RNAcentral.